This is a long non-coding RNA of Rosa chinensis, 957 nucleotides long. RefSeq lists it as uncharacterized. The transcript is spliced from 3 exons. Lineage: Eukaryota; Viridiplantae; Streptophyta; Magnoliopsida; Rosales; Rosaceae. The record is from RefSeq and is a predicted model, not a curated record.
UCUUGCAUUAAACAUAACGAAACCAUGGGAGAGGUCUUUGGACUUAUCAGUACUUCUACCUUGGGGGAGCAUUCUGAUUUCUCGAGAUAUAAACUAUGGUCUCAAGGGAACACUGGGUCAGCCAGGGGUUGAGGUUUAUCUUCCAAACUUUGUUGCGCGUCAGCUUGGCAUCAUACAAAGCUGUCUAGCCUUCUUUCUAAUUUCCCGGAAUCAUUUUUCUUCAUGGAGAGAUGGGUUUACAGACACUGCGCAUUGUUCGGCCGUCACUCUUUAUUAUCAGACUCAGUUUGGCAAUUUUGAGAGAUCCGGCCUGAGUGCCCAAGAACCUGAUCACAGAGCAACUCUGACUUUCCAAGCUUGGUGGUCAACAUUUAUCAAGAAGAAACUUGGAGAGGACUUGCGGACAACCGAGCGUAUUGCCUUGUAUGGAUUCCCGGGCUUGUUCACCAACAAGGGCAAUGGCAAGAAAAAGGCACCGGUUGCCAAGUCGAAAUCCAAAGAAAUGUCCAAGGAAGGUAAACCCCAACUCAUUGUCCGACAAUCGCUAAUUUCUUUAAUUGCUAAAUUUGUUUUUUUUUUGUUUUUAUCUUUCAGAGCAAACCUCAAAGAAACGAGGAUCAAAGUCGGAAAGAGCUCUGCCUACCAAGAAGGUAAAGAAGUCACCUGACGUGGUGGAGAGUUCGGUCACGAAUCCGGCUAACAUUAUGGUUAGUGAAGACAUAAUUUUCAAGGGUGAUAUGGAUAAUAGCCAAAAUGCUCUAGCUGAAAAUCACAUCAUGUCUGGAGCUGAGGAUGCGGCUGAAACUAGUGAUGCCUCAAACAACAACACGGGCUCGGCCAACAGCGAAGGUUCGCCUGAUGAAGCACAGUCAGAAAACUUUGAGCAUAAGAGAGAUGGCCGCAUUGAUCACUCUUCGCAUCCUCCUGAAAGCUCCAUGGUUGAAAUUGACAUGGAUG